This 542-nucleotide ribosomal RNA is filed under the name uncultured bacterium. RNAcentral's name for it is "partial 16S ribosomal RNA". It matches the Rfam family "Bacterial small subunit ribosomal RNA", at positions 355 to 914 of the family's 1533-position model. The record is from RNAcentral.
UGGGGAAUCUUGCGCAAUGGGCGAAAGCCUGACGCAGCCAUGCCGCGUGAAUGAUGAAGGUCUUAGGAUUGUAAAAUUCUUUCACCGGGGACGAUAACGACGGUACCCGGAGAAGAAGCCCCGGCUAACUUCGUGCCAGCAGCCGCGGUAAUACGAAGGGGGCUAGCGUUGCUCGGAAUUACUGGGCGUAAAGGGAGCGUAGGCGGACAUUUAAGUCAGGGGUGAAAUCCCGGGGCUCAACCUCGGAACUGCCUUUGAUACUGGGUGUCUUGAGUGUGAUAGAGGUAUGUGGAACUCCGAGUGUAGAGGUGAAAUUCGUAGAUAUUCGGAAGAACACCAGUGGCGAAGGCGACAUACUGGAUCAUUACUGACGCUGAGGCUCGAAAGCGUGGGGAGCAAACAGGAUUAGAUACCCUGGUAGUCCACGCCGUAAACGAUGAUUGCUAGUUGUCGGGGUGUUUACACCUCGGUGACGCAGCUAACGCAUUAAGCAAUCCGCCUGGGGAGUACGGUCGCAAGAUUAAAAACUUAAAUGAAUUGAC